RNAcentral lists this long non-coding RNA (1423 nucleotides) under Fragaria vesca (wild strawberry). RNAcentral's name for it is "long non-coding RNA (FVES_LNC004661)". The record is from RNAcentral. Lineage: Eukaryota; Viridiplantae; Streptophyta; Magnoliopsida; Rosales; Rosaceae.
GACACCUGCUCUUCCAAGACCACGGAUCUCUUUCCCGGCUCUUCUGCCAACUCCUGCUUCAAGCACCUUAAGAUUCACUGACCACUCCAAAGGUGGGAGCUCAGCCUCCGGGAUGUCAGGGUUUGCAUUCUUCUGUGCAUUUUUCAAUUCAGUGGCCUCUUUCUGCAUUUCUUCCUGCAUUUAAAAAAAAGUCUGUAAAUAUUAUUUACAUAAGAGAUAAGCUUGUAAUUAGAUUUGGAAUUUAAAUUCAUAUUGCUGUUGAAAAGCAGUUCAGGGUUUGGUAACCAGUGAAGGAAAAUAAGUUGGAAAAUGAUGGAACUGUUAUGAAUCUGCUACAUAUUGCAGGCAUGUAAAUCUACUAAAUGAAGAAUUGAACUUAGAGACAAGUAAUGAGAAACUGAUAUCAUGACUUGAUCUGCAGAAACUGAUAUUGCAGGUGAUAUUGAACUUGAGACAAGCAAUGAGAAACUGAUAUUGCAGGUGAUUGAUAGUGAUAUAUGUGUUGUUCAUGUUUUCUGCAGAAUUAGGGUAGAUUGAGUUCAAUCCUAAGCACAAAAAACCAAAUUCAAUAUAAACAAACUGAUAUCAAGACUUGAUCUAAUAUACUCAACAAUAACAAAUUCACAUUCACUAAGACACAAGACAAAUGCAUUCACAUUCACAUUCCUACAGAGAUAUGAAACUUAGCAUAACAAAUUCACAUUCACUAAGACAAAACACAAAUGCAUCUACACCAACUGAAAAUUAUUUAAUUGCACCAACUGAAAAUUAUUUGCACAAUAUAUGUAAGCUAUUUGCACUAGAUUCAUUAACUUACAAGAUUCUUGGUAGCUUUAGGGUCGUUGACUGUGUCAUACGUCUCCGUGUAAGCUGGGAUAACAGGAAAUUCCUCACCCUUCUCUUUGUGGUGGACCACCCUAUAGAUGAUAGGUAGCCGCCCCGUGUGGUGCUCCGACUCCUUCUUACCACGGUUGGUCUUGUUAGCCGCCGAUCGUGUCUGCCAAUCACAUAGUAGUUAUAAAUAUAAUGUGCCAGCAAAGCCAAACAUUCAAACCAAAGUGGCAGCAAAAUAAUUCUUUUACCUUGAAAUCAGGCGACUCAAACUGCCAACAAAGCCAGUCCCACUCAUCCUGCCUGUGUAUCAAAUCAGGCGGAAUUCUUUCUCUCCCAUACUUCUUAUAGUGCCUUGAGAAGUCCCCCUUCCAAUCUCGAUAUAUGAUACCCGCCUUAUCUUCAAGCCACGCCCACAUCUGUUUAUCCCCAAAAUCAAUUUUAAAAUACGGCUAUAACACAAACAACAACUCAUCAGACUAAUUUGAGAUAAACAAUCAUAAAAAUAGUAGAUUCACCAUAUAACACAAUCAAUAUGUCAUCACCUUGUAAAUUGACAUAAUGAAAUAAGAUUAUUAGAACUAGAUAUAUG